AUACGUAGGGUGCGAGCGUUGUCCGGAAUUACUGGGCGUAAAGAGCUCGUAGGUGGUUUGUCGCGUCGUCUGUGAAAUUCCGGGGCUUAACUCCGGGCGUGCAGGCGAUACGGGCAUAACUUGAGUACUGUAGGGGAGACUGGAAUUCCUGGUGUAGCGGUGAAAUGCGCAGAUAUCAGGAGGAACACCGGUGGCGAAGGGGGGUCUCUGGGCAUUAACUGACGCUGAGGAGCGAAAGCAUGGGUAGCGAACAGGAUUAGAUACCCUGGUAGUCCAGGCCGUAAACGGUGGGCGCUAGGUGUAGGGGUCUUCCACGACUUCUGUGCCGUAGCUAACGCAUUAAGCGCCCCGCCUGGGGAGUACGGCCGCAAGGCUAAAACUCAAAUGAAUUGACGGGG
This 398-nucleotide ribosomal RNA is filed under the name uncultured bacterium. RNAcentral describes it as "partial 16S ribosomal RNA". It matches the Rfam family "Bacterial small subunit ribosomal RNA", at positions 523 to 918 of the family's 1533-position model. The record is from RNAcentral.